AGGAGUAAUAGAUUAUUCUUAACCUGCUAAGUUAAAGAAUUCGCGGUUUAAUUCCGUGGUACUUCUG
Molecule: transfer RNA, 67 nt
Filed under: Ophiura albida
Lineage: Eukaryota; Metazoa; Echinodermata; Ophiuroidea; Amphilepidida; Ophiuridae
Description: transfer RNA-Ser(AGY)
Source: RNAcentral